GAGCGGCGGACGGGUGAGUAACGCGUGGGUAACCUGCCCUGUACACACGGAUAACAUACCGAAAGGUAUGCUAAUACGGGAUAACAUAUAAGAGUCGCAUGACUUUUAUAUCAAAGAUUUUUCGGUACAGGAUGGACCCGCGUCUGAUUAGCUUGUUGGCGGGGUAACGGCCCACCAAGGCGACGAUCAGUAGCCGACCUGAGAGGGUGAUCGGCCACAUUGGAACUGAGACACGGUCCAAACUCCUACGGGAGGCAGCAGUGGGGAAUAUUGCACAAUGGGGGGAACCCUGACGCAGCGACGCCGCGUGCGGGACGAAGGCCCUCGGGUCGUAAACCGCUUUCAGCAGGGAUGAGACAAGACGGUACCUGCAGAAGAAGCCCCGGCUAACUACGUGCCAGCAGCCGCGGUAAUACGUAGGGGGCGAGCGUUAUCCGGAUUCAUUGGGCGUAAAGCGCGCGUAGGCGGCCCGGCAGGCAGGGGGUCAAAUGGCGGGGCUCAACCCCGUCCCGCCCCCUGAACCGCCGGGCUCGGGUCCGGUAGGGGAGGGUGGAACACCCGGUGUAGCGGUGGAAUGCGCAGAUAUCGGGUGGAACACCGGUGGCGAAGGCGGCCCUCUGGGCCGAGACCGACGCUGAGGCGCGAAAGCUGGGGGAGCGAACAGGAUUAGAUACCCUGGUAGUCCCAGCCGUAAACGAUGGACGCUAGGUGUGGGGGGACGAUCCCUCCGUGCCGCAGCCAACGCAUUAAGCGUCCCGCCUGGGGAGUACGGCCGCAAGGCUAAAACUCAAAGGAAUUGACGGGGGCCCGCACAAGCAGCGGAGCAUGUGGCUUAAUUCGAAGCAACGCGAAGAACCUUACCUGGUCUUGACAUCCCUUUGACCGUCCUUUAAUCGGGGCUUUCCUUCGGGACAGAGGAGACAGGUGGUGCAUGGUUGUCGUCAGCUCGUGUCGUGAGAUGUUGGGUUAAGUCCCGCAACGAGCGCAACCCCUAUCUUUAGUAGCCAGCAUUUGAGGUGGGCACUCUAGAGAGACUGCCAGGGAUAACCUGGAGGAAGGUGGGGAUGACGUCAAAUCAUCAUGCCCCUUAUGACCAGGGCUACACACGUGCUACAAUGGCGUAAACAAAGGGAAGCGAGCCCGCGAGGGGGAGCAAAUCCCAAAAAUAACGUCUCAGUUCGGAUUGUAGUCUGCAACUCGACUACAUGAAGCUGGAAUCGCUAGUAAUCGCGAAUCAGAAUGUCGCGGUGAAUACGAACCCGGGUCUUGCACACACCGCCCGUCA
Molecule: ribosomal RNA, 1285 nt
Filed under: uncultured bacterium
Lineage: Bacteria
Description: bacterial SSU rRNA
Rfam family: Bacterial small subunit ribosomal RNA
Source: RNAcentral